This 74-nucleotide transfer RNA is filed under the name Morganella morganii. RNAcentral's name for it is "tRNA-Ala". It matches the Rfam family "tRNA". Rfam says of the family: Transfer RNA (tRNA) molecules are approximately 80 nucleotides in length. Their secondary structure includes four short double-helical elements and three loops (D, anti-codon, and T loops). Lineage: Bacteria; Pseudomonadati; Pseudomonadota; Gammaproteobacteria; Enterobacterales; Morganellaceae. The record is from RNAcentral.
GGCUAUAGCUCAGCUGGGAGAGCGCCUGCCUUGCACGCAGGAGGUCAGCGGUUCGAUCCCGCUUAGCUCCACCA